UCCAUACCCAUGUGUGUAGAACUCAAAAGGAUCAUCUUUAAAUUCGGCACAGAUCUCUAUAAAAGUUAUCACAUGAGUGUGAGACUUGACUUUUCUAGAGAUCUGUGCUAAAUUUAAUGAUGAUCCUUUGGGGUCCUACAUAUAUGGGUGUAGG
RNAcentral lists this microRNA precursor (154 nucleotides) under Amborella trichopoda. RNAcentral describes it as "MIR8565 microRNA precursor family". It matches the Rfam family "MIR8565 microRNA precursor family". Lineage: Eukaryota; Viridiplantae; Streptophyta; Magnoliopsida; Amborellales; Amborellaceae. The record is from Rfam by way of RNAcentral.